UAACGCGUGGGAACGUACCCUUCACUACGGAAUAGUCCCGGGAAACUGGGUUUAAUACCGUAUACGCCCUUCGGGGGAAAGAAUUUCGGUGAGGGAUCGGCCCGCGUUAGAUUAGUUAGUUGGUGGGGUAAUGGCCUACCAAGACUACGAUCUAUAGCUGGUUUGAGAGGAUGAUCAGCAACACUGGGACUGAGACACGGCCCAGACUCCUACGGGAGGCAGCAGUGGGGAAUCUUAGACAAUGGGGGCAACCCUGAUCUAGCGAUGCCGCGUGAGUGAUGAAGGCCUUAGGGUCGUAAAGCUCUUUCGCCUGUGAUGAUAAUGACAGUAGCAGGUAAAGAAACCCCGGCUAACUCCGUGCCAGCAGCCGCGGUAAUACGGAGGGGGUUAGCGUUGUUCGGAAUUACUGGGCGUAAAGCGCACGUAGGCGGAUUAGUCAGUCAGAGGUGAAAUCCCAGGGCUCAACCCUGGAACUGCCUUUGAUACUGCUAGUCUUGAGUUCGAGAGAGGUAAGUGGAAUUCCGAGUGUAGAGGUGAAAUUCGUAGAUAUUCGGAGGAACACCAGUGGCGAAGGCGGCUUACUGGCUCG
RNAcentral lists this ribosomal RNA (589 nucleotides) under Celeribacter sp. RNAcentral's name for it is "bacterial SSU rRNA". It matches the Rfam family "Bacterial small subunit ribosomal RNA", at positions 111 to 736 of the family's 1533-position model. The record is from RNAcentral. Lineage: Bacteria; Pseudomonadati; Pseudomonadota; Alphaproteobacteria; Rhodobacterales; Roseobacteraceae.